Molecule: ribosomal RNA, 253 nt
Filed under: uncultured bacterium
Lineage: Bacteria
Description: partial 16S ribosomal RNA
Rfam family: Bacterial small subunit ribosomal RNA
Source: RNAcentral
UACGAAGGGGGCUAGCGUUGUUCGGAAUUACUGGGCGUAAAGCGUGCGCAGGCGGCUGCUCAAGUCAGGGGUGAAAGCCCAGAGCUCAACUCUGGAAUUGCCUUUGAGACUGAGUGGCUUGAGUACGGGAGAGGUGAGUGGAAUUCCCAGUGUAGAGGUGAAAUUCGUAGAUAUUGGGAAGAACACCGGUGGCGAAGGCGGCUCUCUGGACCGAUACUGACGCUGAGGCGCGAAAGCGUGGGGAGCAAACAGG